CCUACGGGGGGCUGCAGUAACGAAUCUUCCGCAAUGCACGAAAGUGUGACGGAGCGACGCCGCGUGUGGGACGAAGCCCUUCGGGGUGUAAACCACUGUCAGGGGAAAGAAAGUUCUGAUCUACCCCAGAGGAAGAGGCGGCUAACUCUGUGCCAGCAGCCGCGGUAAUACAGAGGCCUCGAGCGUUAGGCGGAAUCACUGGGCUUAAAGCGUGUGUAGGCGGACUUCUAAGUACCUUGUGAAAUCCCACGGCUCACCCGUGGAACUGCUUGGUAUACUGGUUGUCUUGAGCCUUCUAGGGGCGAGUGGAACAAAUGGUGGAGCGGUGAAAUGCGUAGAUAUCAUUUGGAACGCCAAUGGUGAAAACAACUCGCUGGGGAAGUGCUGACGCUGAGACACGAAAGCCAGGGGAGCGAACGGGAUUAGAUACCCUUGUAGUC
RNAcentral lists this ribosomal RNA (440 nucleotides) under uncultured bacterium. Its description in RNAcentral is "bacterial SSU rRNA". It matches the Rfam family "Bacterial small subunit ribosomal RNA", at positions 338 to 795 of the family's 1533-position model. The record is from RNAcentral.